UACGGAAGGCAGCAGUGGGGAAUAUUGCACAAUGGGCGCAAGCCUGAUGCAGCCAUGCCGCGUGUAUGAAAAAGGCCUUCGGGUUGUAAAGUACUUUCAGUCGUGAGGAAGGUGUUAAGGUUAAUAACCUUAGCAAUUGACGUUAGCGACAGAAGAAGCACCGGCUAACUCCGUGCCAGCAGCCGCGGUAAUACGGAGGGUGCGAGCGUUAAUCGGAAUUACUGGGCGUAAAGGGCACGCAGGCGGUUAAUUAAGUUGGAUGUGAAAUCCCCGGGCUUAACCUGGGAAUGGCAUUCAAGACUGGUUAGCUAGAGUCUUGUAGAGGGGGGUUAGAAUUCCAUGUGUAGCGGUGAAAUGCGUAGAGAUGUGGAGGAAUACCGGUGGCGAAGGCGGCCCCUGGACAAAGACUGACGCUCAUGUGCGAAAGCGUGGGGAGCAAACAGGGAUUAGAUACC
RNAcentral lists this ribosomal RNA (455 nucleotides) under uncultured bacterium. RNAcentral describes it as "bacterial SSU rRNA". It matches the Rfam family "Bacterial small subunit ribosomal RNA", at positions 340 to 786 of the family's 1533-position model. The record is from RNAcentral.